GACGAACGCUGGCGGCGUGCUUAACACAUGCAAGUCGAACGGAAAGGCCAGUGCUUGCACUGGUGCUCGAGUGGCGAACGGGUGAGUAACACGUGGGUGAUCUGCCUUGCACUCUGGGAUAAGCUUGGGAAACUGGGUCUAAUACCGGAUAGGAACCGUCUUUAGUGUGGUGGUUGGAAAGUUUUUUCGGUGCAAGAUGAGCUCGCGGCCUAUCAGCUUGUUGGUGGGGUAAUGGCCUACCAAGGCGUCGACGGGUAGCCGGCCUGAGAGGGUGUACGGCCACAUUGGGACUGAGAUACGGCCCAGACUCCUACGGGAGGCAGCAGUGGGGAAUAUUGCACAAUGGGCGGAAGCCUGAUGCAGCGACGCCGCGGGGGGGAUGACGGCCUUCGGGUUGUAAACUCCUUUCGACAGGGACGAAGCGUUAUGUGACGGUACCUGUAUAAGAAGCACCGGCUAACUACGUG
This 467-nucleotide ribosomal RNA is filed under the name uncultured bacterium. RNAcentral describes it as "partial 16S ribosomal RNA". It matches the Rfam family "Bacterial small subunit ribosomal RNA", at positions 28 to 507 of the family's 1533-position model. The record is from RNAcentral.